ACUCGAUMAGCUCACGCUAUCUAUCGGAUCGUUUUAGAAACAUUCAGGGGCCAACAGUUUCAGGAUUGUYSAGYUCCAUUGGCGGGAUUUCGCCGUCUUCGUUUCUCUUUCUUCGCGGACRAACACGCGCCAGGGGCUGAGCGCUGUGCGGUGCACCGACUAAACGUCGCGUGCGCGCCGGCAUGUCUCUCGUGUUAGGGGCUUGUAGCUCAGUUGGUUAGAGCGCGCGCUUGAUAAGCGUGAGGUCGGAAGUUCAAGUCUUCCCAGGCCCACCAUUUUGAUCGAGUGCGGAGCAUUCGUCUUCUGGUACGGGGCCAUAGCUCAGCUGGGAGAGCGCGUGCUUUGCAAGCAUGAGGUCGUCGGUUCGAUCCCGUCUGGCUCCACCAGAUGGUUUGAUCACCAACGGCGUUACCGUCGUCCGCGAAACAUCACUUCGCACUCAUUGGUCCGGAUGGACGGUGACGUGCGUGUUUUCUGACAUCGUAAAGAGGAGAUCGAUCCGAGUUUGGAUCAAGCGAAGCAAUUCGCCUGAACCAUUCAUUAUCUCCGGGAUCAUUUCGGCGCUCGCUUUCAAUCGUGAGAUUGGAUGCGGGUUGUAAAUGAUCCCUUUUAGCRAAGCUUGACCGCCUCGCUAUCGGGCCGAUCUUUACRAAGCAAGCUGGUCUUUCUAGUCAAUGUCCGGCUGCGCGAUCGCAUUUCAUCRAGGAUGCGCGCCUUCAGUGGCAAUUUGUGCASAACAACAUUUCUGCCGAGUGUGUGGGACWUUGAUAAWGAGAGGAAUCAAGWGCCYUAAGGGUGUUCGGGUGGAWGGCUUGGCGCUGGAGARGCSAAGAARGKCSUGAUACCYUCCGAUAAAAYMGGGGGGAGCGGCGGSAAG
RNAcentral lists this transfer RNA (877 nucleotides) under Bradyrhizobium elkanii. RNAcentral describes it as "partial contains 16S-23S ribosomal RNA intergenic spacer and 23S ribosomal RNA". The stretch from base 199 to 272 matches the Rfam family "tRNA". Lineage: Bacteria; Pseudomonadati; Pseudomonadota; Alphaproteobacteria; Hyphomicrobiales; Nitrobacteraceae. The record is from RNAcentral.